UGGGUGGCAGACGGGUGAGUAAUGCAUAGGAAUCUACCUAGUAGUAUGGGAUAGCCACUAGAAAUGGUGGGUAAUACUGUAUAAUCCCUGCGGGGGAAAGAUUUAUCGCUAUUAGAUGAGCCUAUGUUAGAUUAGCUAGUUGGUAGGGUAAAGGCCUACCAAGGCGAUGAUCUAUAGCUGGUCUGAGAGGAUGAUCAGCCACACUGGAACUGAGAUACGGUCCAGACUCCUACGGGAGGCAGCAGUGGGGAAUAUUGGACAAUGGGCGCAAGC
RNAcentral lists this ribosomal RNA (273 nucleotides) under Anaplasma phagocytophilum. RNAcentral's name for it is "partial 16S ribosomal RNA". It matches the Rfam family "Bacterial small subunit ribosomal RNA", at positions 92 to 382 of the family's 1533-position model. Lineage: Bacteria; Pseudomonadati; Pseudomonadota; Alphaproteobacteria; Rickettsiales; Anaplasmataceae. The record is from RNAcentral.